This 467-nucleotide ribosomal RNA is filed under the name Empis producta. Its description in RNAcentral is "partial 16S ribosomal RNA". The stretch from base 350 to 467 matches the Rfam family "Bacterial large subunit ribosomal RNA", at positions 2473 to 2590 of the family's 2925-position model. Lineage: Eukaryota; Metazoa; Arthropoda; Insecta; Diptera; Empididae. The record is from RNAcentral.
CUGAAAUUUUGAAUGGCCGCAGUAUUUUAACUGUGCAAAGGUAGCAUAAUCAUUAGUCUUUUAAUUAAAGGCUUGUAUGAAUGGUUGGAUGAGAUAUUAACUGUUUCAUAUAAAUUUAUAAUAGAAUUUUAUUUUUUAGUUAAAAAGCUAAAAUAAUAUUAAAAGACGAGAAGACCCUAUAGAUCUUGAUAAUUUAAAAAUUUUAUUUAUAAAGAUUAUUUUAAUUAUUAUUUAUAUAAUUAUUUUAUUGGGGUGAUAUUAAAAUUUAAUAAACUUUUAAUUAAUUAUUUACAUUAAUUAAUGAAUUAUUGAUCCAUUUUUAAUGAUUAAAAAUUUAAGUUACCUUAGGGAUAACAGCGUAAUUUUUUUGGAGAGUUCAUAUCGAUAAAAAAGAUUGCGACCUCGAUGUUGAAUUAAGAAAUAGUGUUGGGCGCAGCAGUUCAAUUUUAAAGUCUGUUCGACUUUUA